UAUCCGUAGGUGAACCUGCGGAGGGAUCAUUAUUGUAUGAUCGAGCUCCCAGGGCUGCCGCUGACCCGACCAUUCGUGCACGCCCGAGUGCCCCCACACCCACCCAUCUCGCCCCUAUGUGCACCCCCCCGUGGGCCCCCCUUUGGCUUGUUCGGAGGGGGGCUUACGUUUUCACACAAACUUUGUAUACAGUAUAGUAUGUAUAUUUUGUUUUUUCGAUCACCCACUCUAAACAACUUUCCACAACGGAACACUUGACUCUCGCACCGCUGAAGAACG
This 279-nucleotide unclassified non-coding RNA is filed under the name plant metagenome. RNAcentral describes it as "partial contains small subunit ribosomal RNA, internal transcribed spacer 1, and 5.8S ribosomal RNA". The record is from RNAcentral.